GGGGAUAUUUGGCUGUGGCCUCUCCCCUCCCAUUGAUUGUCAAGUUGGAUUUAGCUGAUCAGGUUGGCUGGGUGGGAACCUCCUUUUUUUCCC
Molecule: small RNA, 93 nt
Filed under: Carlito syrichta (Philippine tarsier)
Lineage: Eukaryota; Metazoa; Chordata; Mammalia; Primates; Tarsiidae
Description: 7SK RNA (ENSTSYG00000029158.1)
Rfam family: 7SK RNA
About the family: 7SK was discovered as an abundant small nuclear RNA in the mid-70s but a possible function has only recently been suggested.
Source: Rfam by way of RNAcentral